RNAcentral lists this ribosomal RNA (36 nucleotides) under Laccaria laccata. RNAcentral describes it as "partial 18S ribosomal RNA". Lineage: Eukaryota; Fungi; Basidiomycota; Agaricomycetes; Agaricales; Hydnangiaceae. The record is from RNAcentral.
CGUAACAAGGUUUCCGUAGGUGAACCUGCGGAAGGA